Molecule: unclassified non-coding RNA, 368 nt
Filed under: fungal sp.
Lineage: Eukaryota; Fungi
Description: partial internal transcribed spacer region
Rfam family: Eukaryotic small subunit ribosomal RNA (bases 1-46)
Source: RNAcentral
AAGUCGUAACAAGGUUUCCGUAGGUGAACCUGCGGAAGGAUCAUUAACACGCAUUGAACCAAUAUCAACAAUCACAACCAAACGGUCAACUAUUUCCUCCCUAUUUCGCACACCGGAGACGGUACGAGUAGGCUAACAUGUUAAUAACAGUUGCAUGCGCAUUUGCUUGCAAGCAGUUAUUUUCAAACACAAGAUAACCCCUUUUAAUUAUAUUAUUCAUUUAAUAUAAACUAACAACUCUUCGAAUUUGCCCUUCUUCGGAAGAACAAAAUCGAACUAAACUAAAAUAUACAUUCGAUAUAUUUUUAUUUUACGAAAUAAUAUUAUAUUUAUAAGAACAACUCUUAGCAAUGGAUAUCUUGGUUCUC